RNAcentral lists this ribosomal RNA (329 nucleotides) under Capnocytophaga sp. AHN9883. RNAcentral describes it as "bacterial SSU rRNA". It matches the Rfam family "Bacterial small subunit ribosomal RNA", at positions 106 to 434 of the family's 1533-position model. The record is from RNAcentral. Lineage: Bacteria; Pseudomonadati; Bacteroidota; Flavobacteriia; Flavobacteriales; Flavobacteriaceae.
GUGCGUAACGCGUAUGCAACCUACCUUUCACAGGGGGAUAGCCCGAAGAAAUUUGGAUUAAUACCCCAUAAUAUUAUUGGGUGGCAUCAUUUGAUAAUUAAAAUUACGAUGGUGAAAGAUGGGCAUGCGUCCUAUUAGCUAGUUGGAGUGGUAACGGCACCCCAAGGCUACGAUAGGUAGGGGUCCUGAGAGGGAGAUCCCCCACACUGGUACUGAGACAGGGACCAGACUCCUACGGGAGGCAGCAGUGAGGAAUAUUGGUCAAUGGUCGGAAGACUGAACCAGCCAUGCCGCGUGCAGGAAGAAUGCCUUAUGGGUUGUAAACUGCU